This 253-nucleotide ribosomal RNA is filed under the name uncultured bacterium. RNAcentral's name for it is "partial 16S ribosomal RNA". It matches the Rfam family "Bacterial small subunit ribosomal RNA", at positions 524 to 776 of the family's 1533-position model. The record is from RNAcentral.
UACGAAGGGGGCUAGCGUUGCUCGGAAUCACUGGGCGUAAAGCGCACGUAGGCGGCUUUUUAGGUCAGGGGUGAAAUCCUGGAGCUCAACUCCAGAACUGCCUUUGAUACUGAGAAGCUUGAGUCCGGGAGAGGUGAGUGGAACUGCGAGUGUAGAGGUGAAAUCCGUAGAUAUUCGCAAGAACACCAGUGGCGAAGGCGGCUCACUGGCCCGGUACUGACGCUGAGGUGCGAAAGCUAGGGGAGCAAACGGG